GACAGAGGCCCCAAGCGUUAGGCGGAAUCACUGGGCUUAAAGCGUGUGUAGGCGGAUCGUUAAGUGUCUUGUGAAAUCCCACGGCUCACCCGUGGAACUGCUGGGCAUACUGGCGAUCUUGGGCCAACUAGGGGCAGCCGGAACAAGCGGUGGAGCGGUGAAAUGCGUAGAGAUGUGGAGGAAUACCGAUGGCGAAGGCAGCCCCCUGGGCCAAUACUGACGCUCAUGCACGAAAGCGUGGGGAGCAAACAGG
RNAcentral lists this ribosomal RNA (253 nucleotides) under uncultured bacterium. RNAcentral's name for it is "partial 16S ribosomal RNA". It matches the Rfam family "Bacterial small subunit ribosomal RNA", at positions 524 to 776 of the family's 1533-position model. The record is from RNAcentral.